UGGUGGGUCAUGCGUGUAAUCCCAGCAGUUUGGGAGGCUGAGGUGUGAGGCUUGCUUGUGCCCGGGAGGUUGAGUGUGCAGUGAGCCAUGAUUGCACCACUGCACUCCAGCCUGGGCAACAGAGUGAGACCCUGUCUCAAAAAAA
Sapajus apella (tufted capuchin) is the source of this 145-nucleotide long non-coding RNA. RefSeq lists it as uncharacterized. The record is from RefSeq and is a predicted model, not a curated record. NCBI's taxonomy places the organism in Eukaryota, Metazoa, Chordata, Mammalia, Primates, Cebidae. The transcript is spliced from 2 exons.